Molecule: ribosomal RNA, 389 nt
Filed under: Kapelodinium sp.
Lineage: Eukaryota; Dinophyceae; Torodiniales; Kapelodiniaceae
Description: partial small subunit ribosomal RNA
Rfam family: Eukaryotic small subunit ribosomal RNA
Source: RNAcentral
AUUCCAGCUCCAAUAGCGUAUAUUAAAGUUGUUGCGGUUAAAAAGCUCGUAGUUGGAUUUCUGCCGAGGACGACCGGUCCGCCCUCUGGGUGAGUAUCUGGCUCGGCCUGGGCAUCUUCUUGGAGAACGUAACUGCACUUGACUGUGUGGUGCGGUAUCCAGGACUUUUACUUUGAGGAAAUUAGAGUGUUUCAAGCAGGCACACGCCUUGAAUACAUUAGCAUGGAAUAAUAAUAUAGGACCUCGGUUCUAUUUUGUUGGUUUCUAGAGCUGAGGUAAUGAUUAAUAGGGAUAGUUGGGGGCAUUAGUAUUUAUCAGCUAGAGGUGGAAUUCUCUAAUUUGAUAAAGACUAACUUAUGCGAAAGCAUUUGCCAAGGAUGUUUUCAUUA